RNAcentral lists this ribosomal RNA (195 nucleotides) under uncultured bacterium. RNAcentral's name for it is "partial 16S ribosomal RNA". It matches the Rfam family "Bacterial small subunit ribosomal RNA", at positions 326 to 539 of the family's 1533-position model. The record is from RNAcentral.
ACGCUCGACACCUACGGGGCAGCAGUGGGGAAUAUUGCACAAUGGGGGAAACCCUGAUGCAGCGACGCCGCGUGAGCGAAGAAGUAUUUCGGUAUGUAAAGCUCUAUCAGCAGGGAAGAAACUGACGGUACCUGACUAAGAAGCACCGGCUAAAUACGUGCAGCAGCCGCGGUAAUCUGAGCGGGCUGGCAAGGC